Molecule: ribosomal RNA, 253 nt
Filed under: uncultured bacterium
Lineage: Bacteria
Description: partial 16S ribosomal RNA
Rfam family: Bacterial small subunit ribosomal RNA
Source: RNAcentral
UACAGAGGUCCCGAGCGUUGUUCGGAUUUACUGGGCGUAAAGGGUGCGUAGGCGGUGGGGUAAGUUUGAGGUGAAAGCUCCGGGCUCAACCCGGAAAAUGCCUUGAAAACUAUCCGGCUAGAGGGUUGGAGGGGAGACUGGAAUUCUCGGUGUAGCAGUGAAAUGCGUAGAUCUCGAGAGGAACACCAGUGGCGAAGGCGGGUCUCUGGACAACACCUGACGCUGAGGCACGAAAGCCAGGGGAGCAAACGGG